Molecule: ribosomal RNA, 497 nt
Filed under: uncultured bacterium
Lineage: Bacteria
Description: bacterial SSU rRNA
Rfam family: Bacterial small subunit ribosomal RNA
Source: RNAcentral
GCGUGAGUGAUGAAGGUCUUACAGAUUGUAAAACUCUGUUGUAAAGGAAGAAACCUUACCAUAGGAAAUGAUGGUAAGCUGACGGUACUUUACCAGAAAGCCCCGGCUAACUACGUGCCAGCAGCCGCGGUAAUACGUAGGGGGCGAGCGUUAUCCGGAUUUAUUGGGCGUAAAGCGUGUGUAGGCGGUCUAUUAAGUCUAAGAUCAAAGUCCGAGGCUCAACCUCGGUUCGUCUUAGAAACUGGUAGACUUGAGUGUGGUAGAGGCAAGUGGAAUUUCUAGUGUAGCGGUUAAAUGCGUAGAUAUUAGAAGGAACACCAGUGGCGAAGGCGGCUUGCUGGGCCAUUACUGACGCUGAGACACGAAAGCGUGGGGAGCAAAUAGGAUUAGAUACCCUAGUAGUCCACGCCGUAAACGAUGAGUACUAAGUGUCGGGAAACCGGUGCUGAAGUUAACACAUUAAGUACUCCGCCUGAGUAGUACGGUCGCAAGGCUGA